This 168-nucleotide ribosomal RNA is filed under the name Sterigmatomyces halophilus. RNAcentral's name for it is "partial large subunit ribosomal RNA". It matches the Rfam family "Eukaryotic large subunit ribosomal RNA", at positions 99 to 261 of the family's 3401-position model. The record is from RNAcentral. Lineage: Eukaryota; Fungi; Basidiomycota; Agaricostilbomycetes; Agaricostilbales; Agaricostilbaceae.
CGGGAAGAGCUCAACAUUGUAAUCUGGCUGCUUCGCAGUCCGAGUUGUAGUCUAUAGAAGCAUGAUCCGCGCCGGCCCUUGGGCAUGUCUGUUGGAACGCAGUGUCAAAGAGGGUGAAAAUCCCGUACAUACCAAGGACGACCGUGUGCAUUGUGGUCUGCUCUCUAA